This 496-nucleotide ribosomal RNA is filed under the name uncultured bacterium. Its description in RNAcentral is "partial 16S ribosomal RNA". It matches the Rfam family "Bacterial small subunit ribosomal RNA", at positions 28 to 506 of the family's 1533-position model. The record is from RNAcentral.
GAUGAACGCUGGCGGCGUGCCUAAUACAUGCAAGUCGAGCGAACGGACGAGAAGCUUGCUUUUCUGAUGUUAGCGGCGGACGGGUGAGUAACACGUGGAUAACCUACCUAUAAGACUGGGAUAACUUCGGGAAACCGGAGCUAAUACCGGAUAAUAUUUUGAACCGCAUGGUUCAAAAGUGAAAGACGGUCUUGCUGUCACUUAUAGAUGGAUCCGCGCUGCAUUAGCUAGUUGGUAAGGUAACGGCUUACCAAGGCAACGAUGCAUAGCCGACCUGAGAGGGUGAUCGGCCACACUGGAACUGAGACACGGUCCAGACUCCUACGGGAGGCAGCAGUAGGGAAUCUUCCGCAAUGGGCGAAAGCCUGACGGAGCAACGCCGCGUGAGUGAGGAAGGUCUUCGGAUCGUAAAACUCUGUUAUUGGGGAAGAACAUAUGUGUAAGUAACUGUGCACAUCUUGACGGUACCUAAUCAGAAAACCACGGCUAACUACGU